AAGUCGUAACAAGGUCUCCGUUGGUGAACCAGCGGAGGGAUCAUUACAGAGUUAUCUAACUCCAAAACCCAUGUGAACUUACUUUUGUUGCCUCGGCGAGGGAGCUUACCUGGUACUUACCCUGUAAGAACUUAGGAGGCGAGCUACCCUGUAGCACGCUAUUAGCUAACUCGCCGAAGGACUAUUCGAAUUCUUGUUUAUAUGGCACAUCUGAACGGUUUAUACUUAAUAAGUUAAAACUUUCAACAACGGAUCUCUUGGUUCUG
RNAcentral lists this unclassified non-coding RNA (266 nucleotides) under Eutypella cerviculata. Its description in RNAcentral is "partial internal transcribed spacer region". The stretch from base 1 to 46 matches the Rfam family "Eukaryotic small subunit ribosomal RNA", at positions 1786 to 1831 of the family's 1831-position model. Lineage: Eukaryota; Fungi; Ascomycota; Sordariomycetes; Xylariales; Diatrypaceae. The record is from RNAcentral.